This 877-nucleotide long non-coding RNA is filed under the name Sorghum bicolor (sorghum). Its description in RNAcentral is "long non-coding RNA (SBIC_LNC014771)". Lineage: Eukaryota; Viridiplantae; Streptophyta; Magnoliopsida; Poales; Poaceae. The record is from RNAcentral.
CAAUGAGGGAAAUCCAUAAAAUGUGAUAAUUAUAGUUGGUGAGUAGGGAAUUAUUCUGAUUUAUGAACUGAAGAUAUACAAAUUAAACAGUGAACUAGAUGGCAUAGCUACAUACUGCAGAAUAUCGUGGAAUGCCUCCCAUACAUUAAUUCUGUUAAACCAAAUGCAGUACUUGUUUUGCGUACAGCAUUCUAUGUCUAUCAUAUAUGCAGAGGUAAGCACAAUGGAGACAGAGUGAUUUUAAUAGUUGAUUUCAAGACCCUGGAAUGUGUUUUCAGUUAGCAUAUGGAAUGGAGGAAGUAUCAACAGUAAACCAGAGGAAAGUUUCUCGGAUAUACAGAUUUAAAAGGAGCAAAAACAUCUAGUUGAACCCAAAAUAUUCACAGAAGUCAAGGCAAUGUGUGAUGAGAGAGAAAGCAACUUGGGGGCAUGUCAUAGAUAGAUUCGAGGGGGUGGUUACGUAGAGCGAGGCUUUGGUGGUAGGGUAAAAUAAUCUGUGUAUGUAAAGGUCAUAGUUCGAGGAGAUGGAUAGUGUAGGAGAUUCGUCGAGUGAGUGAGACGAAGAGAAAUGGCCAUGAGAAAGAUGACCAGAGAGAAGCAACGAUGGGUUAAGACUAUAGGCUACUUUCCUUUUACUUAAUCUACUAGGUUUAUGUCCAUACAUUGCGACAUCACCUACCAAAUGUUUAUCACCAAAAGGGAACACAUGAAAAAAAUACUUUGUUAGGGAAAAAGACAACAAUAGUUUCCAUCAUGUCGUCAAAACAUAUGCUAGUAACUGGAAACCAGCGCUGCAUCACACAAGCAAAUGCAAAGGAUUUCCAGUUGUCUAUGCACAUAUUUAGUUAGCAGCUUUGCCAACGGAACUAAAACCAGA